GGACUACCGGGGUUUCUAAUCCCGUUUGCUCCCCUAGCUUUCGCGCCUCAGCGUCAGUCGCAGACCAGGACGCCGCCUUCGCCACUGGUGUUCCUCCGGGUCUCUACGCAUUUCACCGCUACUCCCGGAGUUCCACGUCCCUCUCCUGCACUCAUAUUCCUGCCGUUACAGAUGGCCCUCCCCAGUUGAGCCGGGGGCUUUCACACCUGUCGUACAGAACCGCCUACGCGCUCUUUACGCCCAGUAAUUCCGGACAACGCUCGCCUCCUACGUAUUACCGCGGCUGCUGGCAC
Molecule: ribosomal RNA, 293 nt
Filed under: uncultured bacterium
Lineage: Bacteria
Description: partial 16S ribosomal RNA
Source: RNAcentral